This 274-nucleotide ribosomal RNA is filed under the name uncultured bacterium. RNAcentral's name for it is "partial 16S ribosomal RNA". It matches the Rfam family "Bacterial small subunit ribosomal RNA", at positions 523 to 796 of the family's 1533-position model. The record is from RNAcentral.
AUACGGAUGGUGCGAUCGUUGUUCGGAAUUACUGGGCGUAAAGGGCGCGUAGGCGGCGAUGUAAGUCAAAUGUGAAAGUCCUCGGCUUAACCGGGGAAGUGCAUCUGAAACUGCAUUGCUUGAGUAUGGGAGAGGAAAGUGGAAUUCCCGGUGUAGAGGUGAAAUUCGUAGAGAUCGGGAGGAAUACCGGUGGCGAAGACGACUUUCUGGACCAAUACUGACGCUGAGGCGCGAAAGCGUGGGGAGCAAACAGGAUUAGAAACCCUAGUAGUCC